AUUGAACGCUGGCGGCAUGCUUUACACAUGCAAGUCGAACGGUAACAGGCCUUCGGGUGCUGACGAGUGGCGCACGGGUGAGUAAUGCAUCGGAACGUACCCAGAGGUGGGGGAUAACGCAGCGAAAGCUGUGCUAAUACCGCAUGUGAUCUGAGGAUGAAAGCGGGGGACCGAGCAGCAAUGUUUGGCCUCGCGCCUUUGGAGCGGCCGAUGUCGGAUUAGCUAGUUGGUGGGGUAAAGGCCUACCAAGGCGACGAUCCGUAGCUGGUCUGAGAGGACGACCAGCCACACUGGGACUGAGACACGGCCCAGACUCCUACGGGAGGCAGCAGUGGGGAAUUUUGGACAAUGGGCGUAAGCCUGAUCCAGCAAUGCCGCGUGCGGGAAGAAGGCCUUCGGGUUGUAAACCGCUUUUGGCAGGAACGAAACGGUGUCCGCUAAUACCGGGCGCUAAUGACGGUACCUGCAGAAUAAGCACCGGCUAACUACGUG
RNAcentral lists this ribosomal RNA (492 nucleotides) under uncultured bacterium. Its description in RNAcentral is "partial 16S ribosomal RNA". It matches the Rfam family "Bacterial small subunit ribosomal RNA", at positions 30 to 507 of the family's 1533-position model. The record is from RNAcentral.